This 253-nucleotide ribosomal RNA is filed under the name uncultured prokaryote. RNAcentral's name for it is "partial 16S ribosomal RNA". It matches the Rfam family "Bacterial small subunit ribosomal RNA", at positions 524 to 776 of the family's 1533-position model. The record is from RNAcentral.
UACGUAGGGUGCUAGCGUUAUUCGGAAUUACUGGGCGUACAGGGUGCGUAGACGGCUUAUUAAGUCGGUUGUUAAAGACCCCGGCCUAACUGGGGAAAAGCGAUCGAAACUGAUAUGCUAGAGGUUGGAAGAGAGGAGUGGAAUUCUCGGAGUAGCGGUAAAAUGCGUAGAUAUCGAGAGGAACACCGAUGGCGAAGGCAGCUCCUUGGUCCAAACCUGACGUUGAGGCACGAAAGCGUGGGUAGCAAACAGG